UCUUCUUCAACACAAUAUCUUUAAACAGUGUUUAGGAGAGGGAGCUUGUUGGUAUCUGGGGCCAUUUUGUGGUUGAUUAUGAGACUUGUUGACCUCAAAAUGCAACUAAACUCAAACUGUGAUCACUGGGCUCUUCUUCCUCCCUCAUCAUCUUCCUCACUGUGUGGGGGUACCACAUGUGUCCCAACUCUGCCACCUUGUUUGAGAGGAAGGUUGCUGACAUUUGCAAUUCUUUCAAGAUGGAGUCCUCAGACACAUUAGGCAAUCCUCUCCCCAGACAACCCUCCCCCUCUCCCCACUCCCCCCAAUCACACAGACGAGACAAACAGCAGGAGGACUCGGUGACUCAAGCAUGAUGUCAGAGGAAAGGGAAUAUUCACACUGCAUUUUGCUCCAGAGCUGAACCUCUCUGGGGUCAAACACCUAUCAUCUGGAGGCCUGGAUGGGUGACCUCGCUCUUCUGAACCAUUUUUGGCUGACAGUGAAACAUGACCUCUGCUGACCUCAUCUGGACACAGGAGGCUACUCCCCCACAUCAUCAUAGUCCAUCCCACUGGGAGCUGGAGGAGUUUCAGCCAGAACACUCUCCUCUACAGGGAUGGAU
Molecule: long non-coding RNA, 604 nt
Organism: Anguilla anguilla (European eel)
Lineage: Eukaryota; Metazoa; Chordata; Actinopteri; Anguilliformes; Anguillidae
Exons: 3
Source: RefSeq, a predicted model, not a curated record